Molecule: long non-coding RNA, 698 nt
Filed under: Ananas comosus (pineapple)
Lineage: Eukaryota; Viridiplantae; Streptophyta; Magnoliopsida; Poales; Bromeliaceae
Description: long non-coding RNA (ACOM_LNC007320)
Source: RNAcentral
GUGAAUGGUGUUGGAGCGCAUGGUGUUGUUGAGUUUCAACUUGCGCUACCAUCAAGAAUGACGGAGACCCGUAAUGCACUUUUGGACUUACACACGGCAAAUGUGAGUAAAUUUAGUCUCACGUCCUCCGUAGUGGGCUUUUGGCUAGUUCCAAUAAGCGAAAGGCCACUCCGAGAUGCAAAAGUGCAUUGUACCCCCUUGUCACUCAAUAAAGAGAAUUAGAGUGUGAAUUGGGUUGAAGUGAGUGAGUUUCGGGGACGAAACUCUUAUUAAGGAGGGGAGGAUGUAAGGUACCGGACUUCUAAAACUAUGAAGUUACGGUGUAUAUUUAAAUGGUUCCGGUGAGGUUGCGGUGGAACGUAACAUACUGGAUUUUAAAUAUAAAAGUGAAAAUAAAUAAAAAUAGUAUGAGAUAUUAUUUUUAUUGGAUUUAGAGAACUGAAAUAUAAGUUGGGAAUGACCUGUGCUGAAAUCGGAGCGAAAACAGAAGAUUUAGAAUUUUCUGUAAGAAACGGGGCAGAUAAAUUAGCAGAAAAUGCAUAGUGUCAGAAAAUUAUGAAAAUUGGCAGAGAUGUCAGAAAUAUUUUUAUGAGGCUAGAUUUAAAGUUUCAUAUUUUUCUGACACCCGUAGAGUGAGAAAUAAAAUCCGAGGUUUAUUUGAUAAAGAUUACAGUUCGGCACAGUUUUCAGUGACCAAA